This 228-nucleotide long non-coding RNA is filed under the name Oryza brachyantha (malo sina). Its description in RNAcentral is "long non-coding RNA (OBRA_LNC002132)". Lineage: Eukaryota; Viridiplantae; Streptophyta; Magnoliopsida; Poales; Poaceae. The record is from RNAcentral.
GGAGAGGAGGCGAGAGAAGAGGAUAGGGCGGGGAGAGGGAUGUGUGUGUGCGUGUGGGUGGACGGAUGCGGACGAGGAGGAAGGCGACGACGAGGAGGGGGGUGGCGCUGCUGGCUCUAGGGCGCACGGAGAGUCGCAGGCGAGGGCGAGGCGGGUGGAUCAGCAGAGGUGAGGAGGGAGAGAGGCCGGGGGCGCGGCGCCGAAUGGGUGGGAGAGGAGAGGAGGAGG